UACGUAGGUCCCGAGCGUUGUCCGGAUUUAUUGGGCGUAAAGCGAGCGCAGGUGGUUUAUUAAGUCUGGUGUAAAAGGCAGUGGCUCAACCAUUGUAUGCAUUGGAAACUGGUAGACUUGAGUGCAGGAGAGGAGAGUGGAAUUCCAUGUGUAGCGGUGAAAUGCGUAGAUAUUAGGAGGAACACCAGUGGCGAAGGCGGCCUACUGGACGGUGACUGACGCUGAGGCUCGAAAGCGUGGGGAGCAAACAGG
This 252-nucleotide ribosomal RNA is filed under the name uncultured bacterium. RNAcentral's name for it is "partial 16S ribosomal RNA". It matches the Rfam family "Bacterial small subunit ribosomal RNA", at positions 524 to 776 of the family's 1533-position model. The record is from RNAcentral.